UUUUUUUGCAUGCCUAACCGUUCAUUCACUGUGUGUGUGCUGCUAUGCGUCCUCAUACAUGAGCUAUGUCAACAACAACAAUCUACUGAUAAGAGAACAUGAAAAUGUACAAGUUGUAGGAGACGAACAUGGUUUUAACUUAUCUCAGUACGUAUUUUUCUGAAAUGUUCCCUGUGAUUAAGUUGUGAACAAAUGAACAUGCCACAUGUCAACAAACUGAGCAAACGUGGAUUGUUAGUGACUUAGUGGUGGAGGGAGGGCUAGAGAAAGGCCAGCUGUGUUGGUCCGCCAAUCUCCUGUGUCCCACUUUGGUUACCAAAAUACAACCACUGGUAGGGAAGGCUCAUCUAGAACCAGAGUGAGGAAUAAGGAUUGAGAAUAAAACUCAGCAAGGAUGAUGAAUGAGUUUCAGCUCAUUGCUGGGAUUAGCUGAAGAAUGAAUAGGAAACAGUGGAUGAAGGAACAAGCUAUUCCAGGGACCUUUUGAAGCCCUUGGACCUCACGUCUCUUAUAGCUAAGGAAGGAUAAAAUGGAUGUAGGCCAGUGCUAAUCAUUUGAGAAAUUUUGCUAAAGGAAGAUUUUGAUUCAGUCGAUAUGAAGUGGACCUGAAAUUCUGCAUUUCUGUAAGCUCUCAGGCUGCUGCCCCAUGGAUCACAUUUUGAGUAGCAAUGAUCUACACCAGAGCUAUCCAAUAGAAUUUCUGCAGUGAUGGAAAUUUUCUACAUCUGUACUGUCCACUGUGGUUACUGAACACUUGAAAUGUAGUUGGUGCAACUGAGAAAUGGAAUUUCUAAUUAAGUUAAUUUUUUUAAAGAGUAGGGGUCUUGCUCUGCUGCCCAGGCUGGAGGGCAGUAGCAUGACCAUGGCUCACUGCAGCCUUGAACUCCUGGGCUCAAGCAAUCCUCCCACCUCAGCCUUCAGAGUAGCUGGGACUACAGGCACAUGCCACCAUGCCUAGCUAGUUAAAAAAAAUAUUUUUUUCAGAGACAGGGUCUCACUAUGUUGCCCAGUCUGGUCUCAAACUCCUGGCCUCAAGCCAUCCUCCCGCCUCAGCCUCCCGAGUCACUGGGAUUACAGGCGUGUGCCACUGUGCCUGGCUUAAUGAAAUUCCAUUUAAAUUUAGAUAGCCACAUGUAGCUAAAAUAUCAUAUAGGAUAGAUCUAGAUAUUCAUGGGUCAUUUCUUGUCAGUAAGAACAAUAUACAUCACAGCCCCAAAUGAUCUAAUCCAUCAAUUCAUUUAGAUUAUCUAGCAAGUAUCCUUUUAUAUAAUGCCAGCUGUAAAAUUAGUGUCUUUAAAUUGUUGUCUUCCUAACACUUAAAUGACCCACCAUGUAUGCUUAAGCGAGAAAUGAAAGGGGUCAUUUUGUAGUGGAUUAAUUGAUGCGGAAAGGAAAGCAGAAAGCAGUGAGAAUUUCAGCAACCAUGACUGCACUGGGCAUUGCGAAAAUGAAGAGCCAGAAUGUAGGAAAGAAACUCAGAAAGGGAGGUGAAGAGACCCUAAAGAGAAAUACUGCAUACUCAGGAAUUUUAUUUAGGUCUGAUUCUGUCCCUUUACCUCCUUUAAAAGCAAGUUCUUCCUCAGGAAAUGGAACUGAAAGAAAAUAUAUUCUGGCUGACGCUCUCCC
Macaca fascicularis (crab-eating macaque) is the source of this 1626-nucleotide long non-coding RNA. The record is from Ensembl. NCBI's taxonomy places the organism in Eukaryota, Metazoa, Chordata, Mammalia, Primates, Cercopithecidae.